This 434-nucleotide ribosomal RNA is filed under the name uncultured Coprococcus sp. RNAcentral's name for it is "partial 16S ribosomal RNA". It matches the Rfam family "Bacterial small subunit ribosomal RNA", at positions 341 to 792 of the family's 1533-position model. Lineage: Bacteria; Bacillati; Bacillota; Clostridia; Lachnospirales; Lachnospiraceae. The record is from RNAcentral.
ACGGAAGGCCGCAGUGGGGAAUAUUGCACAAUGGGGGAGACCCUGAUGCAGCAACGCCGCGUGAGUGAAGAAGUAUUUCGGUAUGUAAAGCUCUAUCAGCAGGGAAGAUAAUGACGGUACCUGACUAAGAAGCUCCGGCUAAAUACGUGCCAGCCGCCGCGGUAAUACGUAUGGAGCAAGCGUUAUCCGGGUUUACUGGGUGUAAAGGGUGCGUAGGUGGCAUGGUAAGUCAGAUGUGAAAUACCGGGGCUCAACCCUGGAGCUGCAUUUGAAACUGCCAGGCUGGAGUGCAGGAGAGGCAAGCGGAAUUCCUAGUGUAGCGGUGAAAUGCGUAGAUAUUAGGAGGAACACCAGUGGCGAAGGCGGCUUGCUGGACUGUUACUGACACUGAGGCACGAAAGCGUGGGGAGCAAACAGGAUUAGAUACCCUGGUA